GGCCUGGUGGCGGAGGGGCGACGCGUCGGGCGUGCAAGCCCGAAGACCCUCCGUUCAACUCGGGGGCCAGGCCUCCA
RNAcentral lists this transfer RNA (77 nucleotides) under Caulobacteraceae bacterium. RNAcentral's name for it is "tRNA-Ala". Lineage: Bacteria; Pseudomonadati; Pseudomonadota; Alphaproteobacteria; Caulobacterales; Caulobacteraceae. The record is from RNAcentral.